CAGGAUGAACGCUGGCGGCGUGCCUAAUACAUGCAAGUCGAACGAGUUCUCGUUGAUGAUCGGUGCUUGCACCGAGAUUCAACAUGGAACGAGUGGCGGACGGGUGAGUAACACGUGGGUAACCUGCCCUUAAGUGGGGGAUAACAUUUGGAAACAGAUGCUAAUACCGCAUAGAUCCAAGAACCGCAUGGUUCUUGGCUGAAAGAUGGCGUAAGCUAUCGCUUUUGGAUGGACCCGCGGCGUAUUAGCUAGUUGGUGAGGUAAUGGCUCACCAAGGCGAUGAUACGUAGCCGAACUGAGAGGUUGAUCGGCCACAUUGGGACUGAGACACGGCCCAAACUCCUACGGGAGGCAGCAGUAGGGAAUCUUCCACAAUGGACGCAAGUCUGAUGGAGCAACGCCGCGUGAGUGAAGAAGGCUUUCGGGUCGUAAAACUCUGUUGUUGGAGAAGAAUGGUCGGCAGAGUAACUGUUGUCGGCGUGACGGUAUCCAACCAGAAAGCCACGGCUAACUACGUGCCAGCAGCCGCGGUAAUACGUAGGUGGCAAGCGUUAUCCGGAUUUAUUGGGCGUAAAGCGAGCGCAGGCGGUUUUUUAAGUCUGAUGUGAAAGCCCUCGGCUUAACCGAGGAAGCGCAUCGGAAACUGGGAAACUUGAGUGCAGAAGAGGACAGUGGAACUCCAUGUGUAGCGGUGAAAUGCGUAGAUAUAUGGAAGAACACCAGUGGCGAAGGCGGCUGUCUGGUCUGUAACUGACGCUGAGGCUCGAAAGCAUGGGUAGCGAACAGGAUUAGAUACCCUGGUAGUCCAUGCCGUAAACGAUGAAUGCUAGGUGUUGGAGGGUUUCCGCCCUUCAGUGCCGCAGCUAACGCAUUAAGCAUUCCGCCUGGGGAGUACGACCGCAAGGUUGAAACUCAAAGGAAUUGACGGGGGCCCGCACAAGCGGUGGAGCAUGUGGUUUAAUUCGAAGCAACGCGAAGAACCUUACCAGGUCUUGACAUCUUUUGAUCACCUGAGAGAUCAGGUUUCCCCUUCGGGGGCAAAAUGACAGGUGGUGCAUGGUUGUCGUCAGCUCGUGUCGUGAGAUGUUGGGUUAAGUCCCGCAACGAGCGCAACCCUUAUGACUAGUUGCCAGCAUUUAGUUGGGCACUCUAGUAAGACUGCCGGUGACAAACCGGAGGAAGGUGGGGAUGACGUCAAAUCAUCAUGCCCCUUAUGACCUGGGCUACACACGUGCUACAAUGGAUGGUACAACGAGUUGCGAGACCGCGAGGUCAAGCUAAUCUCUUAAAGCCAUUCUCAGUUCGGACUGUAGGCUGCAACUCGCCUACACGAAGUCGGAAUCGCUAGUAAUCGCGGAUCAGCACGCCGCGGUGAAUACGUUCCCGGGCCUUGUACACACCGCCCGUCACACCAUGAGAGUUUGUAACACCCGAAGCCGGUGGCGUAACCCUUUUAGGGAGCGAGCCGUCUAAGGUGGGACAAAUGAUUAGGGUGAAGUCGUAACAGGGAAAACCCGAAAAA
RNAcentral lists this ribosomal RNA (1522 nucleotides) under Lacticaseibacillus casei. Its description in RNAcentral is "bacterial SSU rRNA". It matches the Rfam family "Bacterial small subunit ribosomal RNA". The record is from RNAcentral. Lineage: Bacteria; Bacillati; Bacillota; Bacilli; Lactobacillales; Lactobacillaceae.